AGUGAACGCUGGCGGUAGGCCUAACACAUGCAAGUCGAACGGCAGCACAGUAAGAGCUUGCUCUUACGGGUGGCGAGUGGCGGACGGGUGAGGAAUACAUCGGAAUCUACUUUUUCGGGGGGGAUAACGUAGGGAAACUUACGCUAAUACCGCAUACGACCUACGGGUGAAAGCAGGGGAUCUUCGGACCUUGCGCGAUUGAAUGAGCCGAUGUCGGAUUAGCUAGUUGGCGGGGUAAAGGCCCACCAAGGCGACGAUCCGUAGCUGGUCUGAGAGGAUGAUCAGCCGCACUGGAACUUGGACACGGUCCAGACUCCUACGGGAGGCAGCAGUGGGGAAUAUUGGACAAUGGGCGCAAGCCUGAUCCAGCCAUACCGCGUGGGUGAAGAAGGCCUUCGGGUUGUAAAGCCCUUUUGUUGGGAAAGAAAAGCAGCAGGUUAAUACCCCGCUGUUCUGACGGUACCCAAAGAAUAAGCACCGGCUAACUUCGUG
This 492-nucleotide ribosomal RNA is filed under the name uncultured bacterium. RNAcentral's name for it is "partial 16S ribosomal RNA". It matches the Rfam family "Bacterial small subunit ribosomal RNA", at positions 29 to 507 of the family's 1533-position model. The record is from RNAcentral.